GAGACAGGUUUCGCUGUGUUCACCAGGAUGGUCUCAAUUUCCUGACCUCAUGAUCUGCCCGCCUCGGCCUCCCAAAAUGGAAAGCACGUCCUUCACCAUAAGUUGCUUUUGUCUGUUUUUCAACAUUAGGUCACAACUAGGAUCUAUUUCCUGCCUUUUCUUACGACCAUGAAUCAUGAAUAUUAAUGCAAUUCCAUUAAGGUUGCCACGGAGUGUCCAGGAUGCUGGUGGAGGGGGCGGUAGGCUGCCACUUUAUCAUGUUAUUGGAUUUGUUUAAAGAAAGGUUCCUGACACGAUUUUCCAAAUGCAGCCUGGUGAGCAGUCCCUGCCAUCAGGAUACUAUGAGAAAAAGGAUCUCUCUCCCUCUGGAAGAGGGACGCAGUACUCACGCAUUCUUCAGGAGGUGUUCCAGAAGAGGUCAUUGUUAUCAUAGGAGAUGACAGCUCCAUGCAUGUUACUGCCCUUGAAAACUUUCCAGUGGGACAAGAUGUGGAGACGGUAAACAGAGACAUUGAUGAUUCUGAUUCUGGUAGGCUUGGAAUAAUGUGUAUGUUUGUGUGUUAGUUUUUAACAAAAAAGUUUAAAAAGUGAAAGGAUAUUUUUAAAAAAUUAAAUAGUAAAAAGCUUAUAGAAUAAGGACAUAAAGAAAAUACUUUUGUACAGUUGUGCAAUGUAUUUGUGUUUUAAUUUAAAUGUUAUUACAAAAGAGUCAAAAAGUUUAUAAAAUGAAAGUUUAUAAAGUGAAAAAGUUAAAUUAACAUAAGUUUAAUAUAUUAUUAAAGAAAGAUUUUUAAAAUAAAUUAAGUGUAGCUUAAGUGUACGAUGUUUAUAAAGUCUGCAGUAGUGUACAGUAAUGUCCUAGGCCUUCACAUUGACUCACUACUCACUCAGUCAUGCAGAGCAACUUCCAGUCCUGCAAGCUCCAUUCAUUGUAAGUGCUCUAUACAGGUGAUCCAUUUUUGAAUGUUUUAAUUAUAUUUCUGCUGUACUUUUUCAAAGUUUAAUGUGUUUAGAUACACAAAUACUUACUACUAUGUUACAGUUGCCUACAGUAUUUAUUGCAGUCACAUGCUGUACAGAUUUGUAGCGUAGGAGCAAUAGGCUAUACUAUAUAGCCUAGGUGUAUAGGCUAUACCAUCUAGGUUUAAGUACACUCUAAGGUGUUUGCACAAUGACAGAUUGCCUAAUGACUCAUUUCUCAGAAUGUAUCAUUGUCUUUAAGCAAUGCAUGACUAUUUCUCAAUGUCCUUUCAUCACUAUAUUGAGUGUUCUGUCUUUUCAAUUAUGACUGCGCCUGCUUCAUGUCAAACAUAUACAGAUAUACCUCAAAGAUAUUGUGAAUUCAGUUCCAAACUACCACAAUAAAGUGAAUAUUGUAAUAAAGUCAGUCACAUUUUUUGGUUUCCCAAUGUAUAGAAAAGUUAUGUUUACACUAUCCUGUAGUCUAUUCCAUGUGCAAUAGCAUUAUGUCUAAAAAAUGUAAAUACCUUAAUUAAAAAUGCUUUAUUGCUAAGAAAUGCUAACAAUCAUCUGAACCUUCAGCAAGUCAUAAUCUUUUUGCUGAUGAAGGGUCUUACUUUGAUAUUGAUGACUGCUGACUGAUCAAGGUGGUGGUUGUUAAAUGUUGGUGUGGCUGUGAUAAUUUCUUAAAAUAAGACAACAAUAGAGUUUGCUGCAUUGAUUGACUUCCUUUCAAGAAAGAUUUCUUUGUAGCAUGUAAUGCUGUUUGAUAUAGCAUUUUACCCACAGUAGAACAUUUUCAAAAUUGGAGUCAAUACUUUGAAACCC
Molecule: long non-coding RNA, 1788 nt
Filed under: Homo sapiens (human)
Lineage: Eukaryota; Metazoa; Chordata; Mammalia; Primates; Hominidae
Description: HSALNT0335641
Source: RNAcentral